RNAcentral lists this ribosomal RNA (519 nucleotides) under uncultured bacterium. RNAcentral's name for it is "bacterial SSU rRNA". It matches the Rfam family "Bacterial small subunit ribosomal RNA", at positions 8 to 518 of the family's 1533-position model. The record is from RNAcentral.
AGGGUUCGAUUCUGGCUCAGAACGAACGCUGGCGGCGCGUCUUAAGCAUGCAAGUCGAACGGCAAGAGGUAGCAAUACCUCCUAGAGUGGCGGACUGGUGAGUAACACGUGGGUGACAUACCUCAGAUGGGGAUAGCUAUUAGAAAUAGUAGAUAAUACCGAAUACGAGCACAGGGGUUAGAGAUCUGUGAGGAAAGGAGCUAAGGCUCCGCUGAAGGAAUGGCCUGCGGCCCAUUAGCUAGUUGGUGAGGUAAGAGCCCACCAAGGCGAUGAUGGGUAUCCGGCCUUAGAGGGUGAACGGACACAUUGGGACUGAGAUACGGCCCAGACUCCUACGGGAGGCAGCAGCUAAGAAUAUUCCGCAAUGGACGAAAGUCUGACGGAGCGACGCCGCGUGGAUGAAGAAGGCCGGAAGGUUGUAAAAUCCUUUUGAAACUGAAGAAUAAGCGUUGUAGGGAAUGACAGCGUGGUGACAGUAGGUUUUGAAUAAGCAACGGCUAAUUACGUGCCAGCCGCCGC